RNAcentral lists this RNase P RNA (336 nucleotides) under Chlamydiales bacterium. Its description in RNAcentral is "RNase P RNA component class A". It matches the Rfam family "Bacterial RNase P class A". From Rfam's summary of the family: Ribonuclease P (RNase P) is a ubiquitous endoribonuclease, found in archaea, bacteria and eukarya as well as chloroplasts and mitochondria. Lineage: Bacteria; Pseudomonadati; Chlamydiota; Chlamydiia; Chlamydiales. The record is from RNAcentral.
GGAGAGGAAAACGCAAUCGCAUUUGGCUUUUAUCAAAUGAGGAAAGUCUGGACUUCGUAGGGGAGGAUACCAGUGAAACGCUGGGGGCCGUAAGGCUACGGAAAGUGCAACAGAAAACACGCCGUCCGCAUUUGCGGAGCAGGAUGAAAAUCUUGACCUAGUGGGUCAAGCGCAUGCAGCGCAAGCUGUGUGGAGAUGUAAACCCUAUCCGAAGCAAGAGAGAGGUGUUGGUUCCCCCACUAUAGCGCCUCGCAGAUUCGCUUGAGCAGAGCGGUGACGCUUUGCCUAGAGGAAUGAUUGCGCACGACAGAAUCCAGCUUAUUUUCCUCUCCCCCC